This 156-nucleotide ribosomal RNA is filed under the name Lepidium draba (heart-podded hoary cress). RNAcentral's name for it is "5.8S ribosomal RNA". It matches the Rfam family "5.8S ribosomal RNA". Rfam says of the family: 5.8S ribosomal RNA (5.8S rRNA) is a component of the large subunit of the eukaryotic ribosome. It is transcribed by RNA polymerase I as part of the 45S precursor that also contains 18S and 28S rRNA. The record is from RNAcentral. Lineage: Eukaryota; Viridiplantae; Streptophyta; Magnoliopsida; Brassicales; Brassicaceae.
GACUCUCGGCAACGGAUAUCUCGGCUCUCGCAUCGAUGAAGAACGUAGCGAAAUGCGAUACUUGGUGUGAAUUGCAGAAUCCCGUGAACCAUCGAGUCUUUGAACGCAAGUUGCGCCCCAAGCCUUCUGGCCGAGGGCACGUCUGCCUGGGCGUCA